This 860-nucleotide ribosomal RNA is filed under the name uncultured Bacillus sp. RNAcentral describes it as "bacterial SSU rRNA". It matches the Rfam family "Bacterial small subunit ribosomal RNA", at positions 13 to 857 of the family's 1533-position model. Lineage: Bacteria; Bacillati; Bacillota; Bacilli; Caryophanales; Bacillaceae. The record is from RNAcentral.
CUGAUCAUGCUCAGGACGAACGCUGGCGGCGUGCUAAUACAUGCAAGUCGAGCGGACAGAUGGGAGCUUGCUCCUGAUGUUAGCGGCGGACGGGUGAGUAACACGUGGGUAACCUGCCUGUAAGACUGGGAUAACUCCGGGAAACCGGGGCUAAUACCGGAUGCUUAUUUGAACCGCAUGGUUCAAACAUAAAAGGUGGCUUCGGCUACCACUUACAGAUGGACCCGCGGCGCAUUAGCUAGUUGGUGAGGUAACGGCUCACCAAGGCAACGAUGCGUAGCCGACCUGAGAGGGUGAUCGGCCACACUGGGACUGAGACACGGCCCAGACUCCUACGGGAGGCAGCAGUAGGGAAUCUUCCGCAAUGGACGAAAGUCUGACGGAGCAACGCCGCGUGAGUGAUGAAGGUUUUCGGAUCGUAAAGCUCUGUUGUUAGGGAAGAACAAGUACCGUUCGAAUAGGGCGGUACCUUGACGGUACCUAACCAGAAAGCCACGGCUAACUACGUGCCAGCAGCCGCGGUAAUACGUAGGUGGCAAGCGUUGUCCGGAAUUAUUGGGCGUAAAGGGCUCGCAGGCGGUUUCUUAAGUCUGAUGUGAAAGCCCCCGGCUCAACCGGGGAGGGUCAUUGGAAACUGGGGAACUUGAGUGCAGAAGAGGAGAGUGGAAUUCCACGUGUAGCGGUGAAAUGCGUAGAGAUGUGGAGGAACACCAGUGGCGAAGGCGACUCUCUGGUCUGUAACUGACGCUGAGGAGCGAAAGCGUGGGGAGCGAACAGGAUUAGAUACCCUGGUAGUCCACGCCGUAAACGAUGAGUGCUAAGUGUUAGGGGGUUUCCGCCCCUUAGUGCUGCAGCUAACG